This 490-nucleotide ribosomal RNA is filed under the name uncultured bacterium. RNAcentral's name for it is "bacterial SSU rRNA". It matches the Rfam family "Bacterial small subunit ribosomal RNA", at positions 28 to 524 of the family's 1533-position model. The record is from RNAcentral.
GACGAACGCUGGCGGCGCGCCUAACACAUGCAAGUCGAACGAGAGAGAAGGAGCUUGCUUCUUCGAUCGAGUGGCGAACGGGUGAGUAACGCGUGAGGAACCUGCCUCAAAGAGGGGGACAACAGUUGGAAACGACUGCUAAUACCGCAUAAGCCCACAGGUCGGCAUCGACCAGAGGGAAAGGAGCGAUCCGCUUUGAGAUGGCCUCGCGUCCGAUUAGCUAGUUGGUGAGGUAACGGCCCACCAAGGCGACGAUCGGUAGCCGGACUGAGAGGUUGAACGGCCACAUUGGGACUGAGACACGGCCCAGACUCCUACGGGAGGCAGCAGUGGGGAAUAUUGCACAAUGGGGGAAACCCUGAUGCAGCGACGCCGCGUGGAGGAAGAAGGUCUUCGGGAUUGGUAAACUCCUGUUGUUGAGGAAGAUAAUGACGGGUACUCAACAAGGGAAGUGACGGCUAGCUACGUGCCAGCAGCCGCCGCGGGUAAG